This 271-nucleotide ribosomal RNA is filed under the name uncultured archaeon. Its description in RNAcentral is "partial 16S ribosomal RNA". It matches the Rfam family "Archaeal small subunit ribosomal RNA", at positions 477 to 747 of the family's 1478-position model. The record is from RNAcentral.
CGGCGGCCCAAGUGGUGGCCGCUAUUAUUGGGCCUAAAGCGUCCGUAGCCGGGCCCGUAAGUCCCUGGCGAAAUCCCACGGCUCAACCGUGGGGCUUGCUGGGGAUACUGCGGGCCUUGGGACCGGGAGAGGCCGGGGGUACCCCUGGGGUAGGGGUGAAAUCCUAUAAUCCCAGGGGGACCGCCAGUGGCGAAGGCGCCCGGCUGGAACGGGUCCGACGGUGAGGGACGAAGGCCAGGGGAGCGAACCGGAUUAGAGACCCGAGUAGUCC